Cucurbita moschata (crookneck pumpkin) is the source of this 373-nucleotide long non-coding RNA. RefSeq lists it as uncharacterized. The transcript is spliced from 2 exons. The record is from RefSeq and is a predicted model, not a curated record. Lineage: Eukaryota; Viridiplantae; Streptophyta; Magnoliopsida; Cucurbitales; Cucurbitaceae.
CCGGAAUCCAUCUCCAGACGAGACUCGUACCAGGAUUGAGGGGCUAUCAAGGCCUACGCACCAUCAAAGCCUAAGAACAUUUCGCGGGGAACAACUCACGCACGGUCUGUGAAGAAGUUUGGCCGAGACCUCAACCCAAAGGUAGAGAACCGAGGGUCAUCCGAGAACGGUGAGCGAACUUCCGGCGUUCUUAAAUCCUCCGAUAGUCAAGAAAAAAAUUAUAAAAAGAAUACUAGGACGUAGCCUGUAACACGAUCUAGAACGUUGCCGAAGGAAUCAUAUUGAUCCGAUCUACGGAUCGAAAGAUAUGAAAAUCGGAAAAUAAAAACCGACUGGGUUUCGGUUUCCAGAGGACAGAGAAAAAAAAAAAAAA